Molecule: ribosomal RNA, 566 nt
Filed under: Rhodotorula mucilaginosa
Lineage: Eukaryota; Fungi; Basidiomycota; Microbotryomycetes; Sporidiobolales; Sporidiobolaceae
Description: LSU rRNA
Rfam family: Eukaryotic large subunit ribosomal RNA
Source: RNAcentral
CAAUAAGCGGAGGAAAAGAAACUAACAAGGAUUCCCCUAGUAGCGGCGAGCGAAGCGGGAAGAGCUCAAAUUUAUAAUCUGGCACCUUCGGUGUCCGAGUUGUAAUCUCUAGAAAUGUUUUCCGCGUUGGACCGCACACAAGUCUGUUGGAAUACAGCGGCAUAGUGGUGAGACCCCCGUAUAUGGUGCGGACGCCCAGCGCUUUGUGAUACAUUUUCGAAGAGUCGAGUUGUUUGGGAAUGCAGCUCAAAUUGGGUGGUAAAUUCCAUCUAAAGCUAAAUAUUGGCGAGAGACCGAUAGCGAACAAGUACCGUGAGGGAAAGAUGAAAAGCACUUUGGAAAGAGAGUUAACAGUACGUGAAAUUGUUGGAAGGGAAACGCUUGAAGUCAGACUUGCUUGCUGAGCAAUCGGUUUGCAGGCCAGCAUCAGUUUUCCGGGAUGGAUAAUGGUAGAGAGAAGGUAGCAGUUUCGGCUGUGUUAUAGCUCUCUGCUGGAUACAUCUUGGGGGACUGAGGAACGCAGUGUGCCUUUGGCGGGGGUUUCGACCUCUCACACUAGGAUGCUG